GUGGGGAAUCUUGCGCAAUGGGCGAAAGCCUGACGCAGCCAUGCCGCGUGAAUGAUGAAGGUCUUAGGAUUGUAAAAUUCUUUCACCGGGGACGAUAAUGACGGUACCCGGAGAAGAAGCUCCGGCUAACUUCGUGCCAGCAGCCGCGGUAAUACGAAGGGGGCUAGCGUUGCUCGGAAUUACUGGGCGUAAAGGGCGCGUAGGCGGACAGCUUAGUCAGAGGUGAAAGCCCAGGGCUCAACCUUGGAAUUGCCUUUGAUACUGGCUGUCUUGAGUUUGGGAGAGGUGAGUGGAACUCCGAGUGUAGAGGUGAAAUUCGUAGAUAUUCGGAAGAACACAAGUGGCGAAGGGGACUCACUGGCCCAAUACUGACGCUGAGGCGCGAAAGCGUGGGGAGCAAACAGGAUUAGAUACCCGAGUAGUCC
RNAcentral lists this ribosomal RNA (425 nucleotides) under uncultured bacterium. RNAcentral's name for it is "partial 16S ribosomal RNA". It matches the Rfam family "Bacterial small subunit ribosomal RNA", at positions 354 to 796 of the family's 1533-position model. The record is from RNAcentral.